GUAGCGCGCGCCUGUGUUGUUCUAGUCCAUAAUAAAAAAAUCCAUUUGGACCGAGAAGUGAGCUUUGCGAGUCGAAUAUCUCGCACGUAGUGUUGCCGCUUUUCCGCGUGCGUGAUUGGCUGGCGCGGUCGAGAUUGACGGCGAUCGCGAGAUCGCGGCGAGUUUGGCGAGUUUCGCGUGUGUUAAAUCGUGCGACGUGACGUGUGUUCGCGUGGUGUCUCGCGAGAUAAUAUUCCGAUGAAUUUAAUGUUCGAGAAGAUCUGAUGGGAUUAGCUAUUGGUGCUCAUGAUGCAAAUAUUCAACAAGCGUGAAAAGUUGAUGACAUUACAAAUAUAGUUAGAAGAAAAUUCAUGCACAUUUAAGAUAUAUAGAGAGACGCAUGAAGCUGUUAAGAAAGACCGAUCUAUGCAGGAAUAAAGCAGUAACCUAAAAAUAGAUAGUGACAGUGUGACAGUCGUGACCAUCGCCGCGUGAUAGAUGAUAGUGAUAGUGAAAUAUAUAUUGACGGCAGGGAGCUGAUGCCGAGGAGAUCUUUAAGAAGGAAGGUAUAUCCAAAAUCGCACACGACCAUUUUAUAUUCAACUAUAUGGUAUACAAUUUUGCCGCUAUAUAUUGACCGCAGGGAGCUGAUACCGAAGAGAUCUUUAAGAAGGAAGGUGUAUCCAAAAUUGCACAUGUAUGGAACUUGUGAGUUAUGCGAAGCAAUUGAUACUAUUAAGGUUCAUUGGUCAUAUGAAGUUUGCACACGUCAAGCUUGACAUCCUAAAGAUCACAAUGCAUUCUGAAAAUAUACCGUGCAGGUUCGUUGGCGUAUAUGUGGUGUCAUACAGGCUGGAAGGUAUUUUCUAUGUUUUGGAAGUAAAAUUUGGAAAAUACAACAUGCCACAAUAAGCGCUAAACCAGGAAAUAUGGUACGACGGCUUUUUAUUUUUUACGUUAAUGCUGAAUGGAAAAGCCUAUAAGCAUAUUGCGGACAAGAUGAUGUCUAAUCUGGAUACAGCCACG
This is a long non-coding RNA of Temnothorax curvispinosus, 1005 nucleotides long. RefSeq lists it as uncharacterized. The transcript is spliced from 6 exons. Lineage: Eukaryota; Metazoa; Arthropoda; Insecta; Hymenoptera; Formicidae. The record is from RefSeq and is a predicted model, not a curated record.